This 77-nucleotide transfer RNA is filed under the name Candidatus Omnitrophota bacterium. RNAcentral's name for it is "tRNA-Ala". It matches the Rfam family "tRNA". Rfam says of the family: Transfer RNA (tRNA) molecules are approximately 80 nucleotides in length. Their secondary structure includes four short double-helical elements and three loops (D, anti-codon, and T loops). The record is from RNAcentral. Lineage: Bacteria; Pseudomonadati; Candidatus Omnitrophota.
GGGGCUGUAGCUCAGUUUGGGAGAGCGCUUGCAUGGCAUGCAAGAGGUCAAGGGUUCGAUCCCCUUCAGCUCCACCA